This 440-nucleotide ribosomal RNA is filed under the name uncultured bacterium. RNAcentral's name for it is "partial 16S ribosomal RNA". It matches the Rfam family "Bacterial small subunit ribosomal RNA", at positions 338 to 795 of the family's 1533-position model. The record is from RNAcentral.
CCUACGUGAGGCAGCAGUGGGGGAUAUUGCACAAUGGGGGAAACCCUGAUGCAGCAACGCCGCGUGAGUGAAGAAGUAUUUCGGUAUGUAAAGCUCUAUCAGCAGUGAAGAGAAUGACGGUACCUGACUAAGAAGCCCCGGCUAACUACGUGCCAGCAGCCGCGGUCAUACGUAGGGGGCGAGCGUUAUCCGGAUUUACUGGGUGUAAAGGGAGCGUAGACGGCAGCGCAAGUCUGGAGUGAAAUCCCAUGGCUUAACCAUGGAACUGCGUUGGAAACUGUGCAGCUAGAGUGCAGGAGAGGUAAGCGGAAUUCCUAGUGUAGCGGUGAAAUGCGUAGAGAUGAGGAGGAACACCAGUGGCGAAGGCGGCUUACUGGACUGUAACUGACGUUGAGGCUCGAAAGCGUGGGGAGCAAACAGGAUUAGAUACCCGAGUAGUC